Molecule: long non-coding RNA, 636 nt
Organism: Anolis carolinensis (green anole)
Lineage: Eukaryota; Metazoa; Chordata; Lepidosauria; Squamata; Anolidae
Exons: 3
Source: RefSeq, a predicted model, not a curated record
GGAGGUCAGUUUUGGAAACAGACUCAUUGAAAGCCCGUCAAAGUACUGUAGCUAAGACCAUCAGAGACAGAAACCUCAUGUUUUGUACUUGAGAGAAAAGCCAAAGGCAACAUAAGUAUAAAGAGCAAAUAACAGCAAUACAACAAAACAGGAGCAUCCUCCAUUUAUGUGGGAUGCGUGCCUCAAGAACCAGUGAUUGGCUCUUCUAAGAGAUCCAUUCAGACCAAUGCAAAAUGCCAAGAUGAAUCAGUCAAUAUGCCUGAAAUGUUUGCAGAUUGGACACACGUUGGCACUGAGGCCCAAUAUUCAAUAAGCGGCACUAUCUUCACUUAUUCUUCUUCAGCACCCAUUGAAGGAAUCCACAGUUGUACUUCUAUAAAUCUAGAGCUGCCAGUGUUGCAUCUCCCUUAAGGAUCUUCUUUCCUGCUGGAGCUGUGGAGUGUGACAAUGGUGUUUGUAUCCAAUCCGUCAAACGCCAUUAUCACACUAAAUAGCUACUGCUAGAGAAGCCAUCGGUUCAGGUUUGGGGCAGGAGGAAGAAGAAGAGAAUACAACCGUUUUCAAGACAACUCUUUACUUUUAUGGAGUCAAAAGACUAUACAUUAAAUAAAAAUAUGCUCUGCUUUCCUAAAACUA